AGGGUGUAAACGCUGCAGACUUGGUGUUGGGAACCCUUCGGGGGUGCUCAGUGCCGGAGAGAAGUUGUUAAGUCUGCUACUUGGGGAGUACGUCCGCAAGGAUGAAACUUAAAGGAAUUGGCGGGGGAGGCACCGCAACGGGAGGAGCGUGCGGUUUAAAUUUGGAUUCAACGCCGGGAAGCUCACCGGAUAGGACAGCAGAAAUGAUUGCCGGGCUGAAAGACCCUGCAUGACUAGCUGAGAGGUGGUGCAUGGC
RNAcentral lists this ribosomal RNA (256 nucleotides) under uncultured archaeon. RNAcentral's name for it is "partial 16S ribosomal RNA". It matches the Rfam family "Archaeal small subunit ribosomal RNA", at positions 748 to 998 of the family's 1478-position model. The record is from RNAcentral.